GACGAACCGUCCAAACGUUAUUCGGAAUCACUGGGCUUACAGAGUUCGUAGGCGGUCUGGAAAGUUGGGUGUGAAAUCCCUCGGCUCAACCGAGGAACUGCGCUUGAAACUACCAGACUCGAGGGAGAUAGAGGAAAGCGGAACUGAUGGUGGAGCGGUGAAAUGCGUUGAUAUCAUCAGGAACACCGGUGGCGAAGGCGGCUUUCUGGGUCUUACCUGACGCUGAGGAACGAAAGCCGGGGGAGCGAACGGG
This 253-nucleotide ribosomal RNA is filed under the name uncultured bacterium. Its description in RNAcentral is "partial 16S ribosomal RNA". It matches the Rfam family "Bacterial small subunit ribosomal RNA", at positions 524 to 776 of the family's 1533-position model. The record is from RNAcentral.